RNAcentral lists this ribosomal RNA (433 nucleotides) under uncultured bacterium. Its description in RNAcentral is "partial 16S ribosomal RNA". It matches the Rfam family "Bacterial small subunit ribosomal RNA", at positions 29 to 507 of the family's 1533-position model. The record is from RNAcentral.
AACGAACGCUGGCGGCAUGCCUAACACAUGCAAGUCGAACGAGACCUUCGGGUCUAGUGGCGCACGGGUGCGUAACGCGUGGGAACCUGCCCUUAGGUUCGGAAUAACUCCCCGAAAGGGGUGCUAAUACCGGAUAAUGUCUUCGGACCGAAGAUUUAUCGCCUUUGGAUGGGCCCGCGUUGGAUUAGCUAGUUGGUAGGGUAAAAGCCUACCAAGGCGACGAUCCAUAGCUGGUCUGAGAGGAUGAUCAGCCACACUGGGACUGAGACACGGCCCAGACUCCUACGGGAGGCAGCAGUGGGGAAUAUUGGACAAUGGGCGAAAGCCUGAUCCAGCAAUGCCGCGUGAGUGAUGAAGGCCUUAGGGUUGUAAAGCUCUUUUACCCGGGAUGAUAAUGACAGUACCGGGAGAAUAAGCUCCGGCUAACUCCGUG